Bos taurus (domestic cattle) is the source of this 3071-nucleotide long non-coding RNA. NCBI's taxonomy places the organism in Eukaryota, Metazoa, Chordata, Mammalia, Artiodactyla, Bovidae. The record is from Ensembl.
GAGGGUACAGGAAAAACACAGGCAGGCAGGCUGAGGGGAUUCUUCUGUUGAGUCCCCAGCCCACCCUGAGUAACACAACCAGAUAAGUCAGGUUAUACCCAUGUGCACAUAAGCACAUGUACGCACACACACUCUACCACACACACACACACACACACACACAAACCUGGACUGAGCUCUCUUCCAGGGGAGGGCCUUAGGUCAGGUCACAGUAUGAGAUCCCCUCUUCUGAAUAUUAUCCCAAUAGUGGUAACGGAGUACUCAGAUCUCCCCCGGCCCAUCACUACAGCCUGUCUAGUUACCUCUCCCCAACGCACUAGAUUAUGACAGCAAACAGACCUCUGAGAGAGGAAAGGAGACCAAGUCCCCGAAGCGCAGAGAAGGUGGACUCUGCCUGCUCAGCAAGUUCAUCGGUAAGACUAGGGUAUUCAUAAAAGGACUAGAGCCAAGCCAGUGGCACAGAACACACGCAAAGGGGUCACAGUGGAAUAUACAGGGCAGAAGUCAGUCAGAAGGAGAGUCUGCAGUGAGGGAUUAGAGAGCAUACCCUUCUCAGACAGACCAUGAGGUGCAGAUUUCUUUCUUGGAAACCGUCUGCCGAGGGCCAGAAAGUCUGCUAGGGAUCUAAAGGUGGGAGCUGUUCUUCUCUCAGGAGUUUUGGUGCAAGGAGAGUCACUGAGCUGGGUGCACAGGAGGCCACCGCUCAAAGAGGAGAGACGGGUCUCCUGUAGAAUCACAGGGGACUGGGAAGCACAAGGGGGUUAUGAACAGAGAAACAGGAAUGUAAAGCCCCAGAAGACCUUCUCCCAACGGAUGAGGACUCAAUUCAGAGCGAUGCCAGGCAUGCACAGACAAGAGUGCCUUGCUCUGACUGCUGUGGGAGUGACAGUCCCACCCAGACUGUUAAAAUCUUGGUUGAGUGUUUCAACCUAUCAGCAAAAUGUUACCCCAGCUACUUGCUUCAUGUCCUGGAGUGGGAAAUGUUCAUAUUUAGUUGUGAAUCACAAGUAUAUAGAGAUUCUACACACUAGUUCCUAGGGAAUAGAGUUCUAAGGACCAGAGACAUCCUAAAGUCAGAAGAUGCUUAAGACAGAUGCUUGAGAAGCGUAACUGGAGGCAGUGAGAACUCUGCAGAUAUCUAAUUUGAAAAUGACAUGGAUCCAACAUGGCUCACUUACUUUCUCACUUCAGCGGCUAAUCUCUGUUGAAUUUCUAUCUACAAAGAUACUGAGACAGCAAGUCAAGCAUUACUACAAGUGGUAAUCCUGAAUCAUUACAUAGUACUAUAUCCCCUAGAUUGAGGACUUAGGCUAAACCAGACAGAUGGGGCUUGAGAGGCCCUUGAAAACAUGCUAUGGAAGACAGCAGUGAGGGAAGAUGGCUAAACCUGAUCUGCCCUCCCUCUUACCAUCCUUCCCUUACUCAAGCCGGAAUGGUGGGUGGGCAUCACUGCCAAGUUGUUUCUCAUCAGAGAAACAGUAAAACAUCGUUCUUAGGUUCUAAAACAGCUCCUGCUUCCCUCACACAUAUGUUCAUAUUUGGUGUGCAUGCACGCUUGCCUACCUGCACACAGAGAUAGCAGAAAUGUCAGAGAAGUGUUUUCAGGUUUUUUUUUUUUUUUAAAAGGAAAACCAUGGAACCAGCAGCACUCUAAUUUCCCAUGAUCCUAGCCCUACUCCCUUAUACACUGUAAGCUGCAUAAAUCAAAGAAAACCUUGUCUACCCAGGACAGCCUCCCAAAACUGCGGCCUCUCCUGAAAUGAAGCACGACUCAGCCCCUAGAACCACUGGGAAGAGGGCAGGCUUGUAUGGCAGAGAACACCCAUUUGGUUCCCAGUACAUUUAAAAGCCCAUCCCUCCAGUGGCUGCUUUUAGUUCCUCACUGGGAUAGUUUCUGGAUUCUCAGUCUGCUGCUGUGAUUUCCUAGAGGUGAACACAAAAAUACCCCUCCUUCCCCACACACAUUCUCUGGGAUCCCAGUGCUCUGGGGCCUUAGAGGCAUCAUUUGUAGCCCAGGUGGUGAGUGUUCCUUGCAAAUCAAGAGAUCCAGGCUAGCUUACUCCCUCUGCACCAGCCUCAGCCAGAGAGCCCACUCCAACUCAGCCCCUUCACCAUUCAUUCUCAGGAUGCAUCUGAGAAAGCACUGUUGGAACUGCUGUUUUUAAAUUAUUAAAAUAAUUUGCAUAGCUAAAUUGUAGGUCUAAGGCUUCUAUGAAGAGGAAAGUUAAGUGUCUGACAGGGUGCUUAUGAAAACAGAGAAAGCAAGCUCCUUAAGUUCCACUUUUGGUGUAACUGAACAGUGCGCACGCACGCACACACACACACGCGCACGUAACAGCCAUCUCCUUGUCCCUUCUUGGGGAUAAUACCCCAGAGUGUCCCCAGAGUGUGCUAAGACCCCCCCACCAAUGGAAAUGGGCUGUUCAGAAGAACUGCAGAAGCAGCUACUACUAGGGGCGACCCAGCUAAGCUGCCCCCAGGGUUCAGAAGAGGCAGAAAAGCCAAAAGGAAGACAGUGCUUAUGCUUAGACUAGAUGCCCCUCAGCCUCCAGCACUGGUAAUAAGGGGAGACUCAGAAUGACCAAUGUGUUAUGAUGAUUUAAGGCUUCUACAGAGGAAGGGCUCCUCCACAGAGGAUGGAGGUAGCAGACACCAGGGCCCACACUGAUCACCUGAUAGGCUGAGGAAGCCAAACAUUUCCCGAUAUGAGCUCAACUGUCUGUUCUGUCAACCCAGCAGCCACCUACACCCAGCUUCACUAUUCAGCAUAGAGCCUGCCUCUAAGGUCAUCCCAAGAGGACACACCUCCGAAUUUGGGGUCACUUACUUCCCAAUUGCAAACUCCAUGAUCCUAAGUUUCAAUCGCUGUGUAAUGAGUCGCAUCAUCGCUAAUACCCAGUCGCAGGAUUCCCUGAACUUCCUGAGAGGCCAUUUGCUGAAAACAUAGUUGCUUAGUGUAGACCUUCAUCAAGGCUAACUCUCUAUCCUUGGUCACUUCGCCAUCCACUGGGAAUUUACUAACGAGCAGCUGUGGGGUCUGAGACAUAAACUUUCCCUUCCCAACAUUUACC